AUGUGAGACGGGGGUCCUCAGCUAACAAUAUGUAUGGCAGGCGGUCCUCAGCUAACAAUAUGUAUGGCAGGCGG
Haliotis rufescens (red abalone) is the source of this 74-nucleotide long non-coding RNA. RefSeq lists it as uncharacterized. The record is from RefSeq and is a predicted model, not a curated record. The transcript has 3 exons. NCBI's taxonomy places the organism in Eukaryota, Metazoa, Mollusca, Gastropoda, Lepetellida, Haliotidae.